Molecule: long non-coding RNA, 1389 nt
Organism: Paramormyrops kingsleyae
Lineage: Eukaryota; Metazoa; Chordata; Actinopteri; Osteoglossiformes; Mormyridae
Source: RefSeq, a predicted model, not a curated record
CGAGAGAGAGUCUGUCUGGACCGAGAGAGAGAGGAUUUACCUCCUUGAUGUGAGCCGUGGCCUGAGAUGGACAGAAAAUUGUUUUGUCAUUAAAGGACUCAGGAGUGACCCACGCCAAAACAACAAACAAAAUAGGCUAAUGCCACAAAUUCAACCUACCUUCCCUGAACAAAAAUGAAAGUACAAUCACUACCCCUAUGUCCCUAGCCAACGCGUUCAAUAAACAGAAAUAAACAGAUAAACAGUCACUCCCUACAUACACUCUAUGACAAUCACUCUCGCAAAGCAUCAAAGCUGAGGGCUGGGUUUAAUCAUAGUCGAAAUACAAAGCUAGAAUGUCAGUACACAGAAAUCAGGCAGAGGAUUAGUGACAGUACCAACAAAAAGCAAAAAAAGAGUUACCAGGCAACAAACCAAGGUCAUACGGGAGUAGACAAAUCAAAGUCUGCAAAUCACAAACCAAAAUGGGAGAGAGCAUGCCAACAAGAAGCUGUUGGUUUUGAUGUUGCCAGUCCUUUCUAUGGUGUGGAGGGUCUGGAACUGAUGGCAUAGAUCGAACAAGGCUUAGGUAGAGCUCCGGUGGAGCCGAAGAAUCCCCAGAUCAGGUCAGGCAUCUUGACGUCAGCAUCGGUCGAAGCAACCAUACGGCACAGAACAACGCUUACAGCAUGUAACACACCUUACGGCAUGGAACAAAACUUACAACAUGUAACAUGGGGUUGCCCAUCUGCCGAAAUGUCGCCAAAGGAAGAAAAGUGGCAAAUGAGCUGAAAUUUUGAUCAGACUUAGGUGGCAUAUCAACCGGCCUCUGCUCCCCUGACUAGCAUACAGUCCCUAGAGAACAAGCUCUGUGAGUUCUGGGCAUGAAUCUCAUUCCAACAAGAGACACGGGACUGCUCCAUUAUCUGCCUCACAAAGACCUGCCUGUUGGAGGUGGAACCAGGAUGCAAGACAUCAUGAGGAAAAGGAAAGGAGGAUUUCUAGGUGCAGCCAGAGUGUUGAGGGAGUCCAGUUUGGUGGCCUCAGGAUUGCAUCGCUGCUUUUUGCAGAUGACAUAGUCCUGUCGGCUUCAUCUGCUGGGGACUCCAGCGAGCUCUGGGGUGGUUCGCAGCCAAGUGUGAAGCAGUGGGGAUGAGGAUUAGCACCUCCAAGUCCGAGACCAUGGUUCUCAGCCGGAAACAGAUGGAUUGCCCUCUUCAGGUCAGGGAGGAGGUACUGCCUCAAGUGGAAGAGUUCAAGUAUCUCGGGGUCUCGUUCAUGAGUGAUCGUAGAAGAGAUGGAGAGCUGGAUAGACGGAUCGGAGCUGCAUCUGCAGUUUUGUUGGUAGCACUUAACUGGUUCAUCAAAUGUUACAACCUAAAAGUUUGCUAUUCACGAACAAAUUAAUGA